RNAcentral lists this long non-coding RNA (201 nucleotides) under Nicotiana benthamiana. Its description in RNAcentral is "long non-coding RNA (NBEN_LNC000040)". Lineage: Eukaryota; Viridiplantae; Streptophyta; Magnoliopsida; Solanales; Solanaceae. The record is from RNAcentral.
UCAUGUGGAGAGAGCAAGGAACUCAGCAAUCGAGGCUGCUCUGACUGAUGCCGUGGCACAAGGCAUGGCAGCAAAAGAGGCAGCUAAGCUAGCUCAGAAAGAAGGAGCAAAAGCUGCAAAACUGGCCGUGCGACAAACCAAGCGCAUUGUUGGUCCGAUUAUUUCUGGGGGAUGGGACUUUUUUGAAGCACUUUAUCUUGG